UACCUACCAGGGUAGAAUCAGAAGAAGAAAAAAGUGCAAAACAACCUUAGGACCAAAACCAAAAUUCACAACCACCAAUGGGGUCACAUAAGAGAGAGGAACCCAAACCAGAUAAACCACACACACCAUAAAUAAAAGAUUUUUCAACAUACCAGUAUCAGCAUCAAUAGAUGCCUCGAACUCCCUAGGGAUAGUAAGAGCAUUGAGACAAUCCUG
RNAcentral lists this long non-coding RNA (216 nucleotides) under Capsicum annuum. Its description in RNAcentral is "long non-coding RNA (CANN_LNC009748)". The record is from RNAcentral. Lineage: Eukaryota; Viridiplantae; Streptophyta; Magnoliopsida; Solanales; Solanaceae.